Homo sapiens (human) is the source of this 679-nucleotide long non-coding RNA. Lineage: Eukaryota; Metazoa; Chordata; Mammalia; Primates; Hominidae. The record is from Ensembl.
GAGCAUUUGGUGAGGUACCAUUUAUGUGAGGCAGUCCCAAAUGUUUGGCACAUUUAUGGGAAGCAUCCUGAUGAAGGAUUUACAGUGGUUUCUUCUAACUGGGAUCACUCCUAGGUCUAGUACUAAUAAAGAGAAGAAGAUCGGAGCAGCUUUGACAUGAAUGGAUCCAUCUGGCCUGGUCUCCAUACAAGUUUCCUAUGAGUUUGCAAGUAUUAGCUGUGUGUGUGGCUGUAACAGCCAAGGACCGGCUGGAGGAAUGCGGUGACUCUACAGCAGUGCACCUCUGAGUCCUAGUGAGACAAGCGACUGUGGUCCAGGUCUGGAAGGAGGCUGGGCAGCGGCUUUUCUCAUCUCUACAGUUGGGAACUAGCACUCAUCCUUCUCAGGAAGAGGGAGAGAGUGGACUGAAUAUUUCUCACAAAGCAAUGACUGCCUCAUUAAAAAAAAAAGUAAUCAUAUAAGAAAUAUGUGAAGAUAUUGUGAAAAAAUCAAAUAAAACAAGUAAAAAGUAUCUUUAUAUUCCCCUUCCCUUCCCACUGCUCUCUUCAGAGGUAACCACUAUUCACAGUCUGGGAUGUGCCCUUCCGGACUUUGUGGAUGUGUAUGGGUGUAUGGCAUACGUAAUUUUGGUUACUGGGUUGUUAACUGAAAUAAAAUCAUUCUACAUAUUUUUCUGUAA